RNAcentral lists this ribosomal RNA (2911 nucleotides) under Klebsiella pneumoniae. Its description in RNAcentral is "23S ribosomal RNA". It matches the Rfam family "Bacterial large subunit ribosomal RNA". Lineage: Bacteria; Pseudomonadati; Pseudomonadota; Gammaproteobacteria; Enterobacterales; Enterobacteriaceae. The record is from RNAcentral.
GGGUUGUGAGGUUAAGCGACUAAGCGUACACGGUGGAUGCCCUGGCAGUCAGAGGCGAUGAAGGACGUGCUAAUCUGCGAAAAGCGUCGGUAAGGUGAUAUGAACCGUUAUAACCGGCGAUGUCCGAAUGGGGAAACCCAGUGCAAUUCGUUGCACUAUCGUUAACUGAAUACAUAGGUUAACGAGGCGAACCGGGGAACUGAAACAUCUAAGUACCCCGAGGAAAAGAAAUCAACCGAGAUUCCCCAGUAGCGGCGAGCGAACGGGGAGCAGCCCAGAGUCUGAAUCAGCUUGUGUGUUAGUGGAACGGUCUGGAAAGUCCGACGGUACAGGGUGAUAGUCCCGUACACCAAAAUGCACAGGCUGUGAACUCGAAGAGUAGGGCGGGACACGUGGUAUCCUGUCUGAAUAUGGGGACCAUCCUCCAAGGCUAAAUACUCCUGACUGACCGAUAGUGAACCAGUACCGUGAGGGAAAGGCGAAAAGAACCCCGGCGAGGGGAGUGAAAAGAACCUGAAACCGUGUACGUACAAGCAGUGGGAGCACCUUCGGGUGUGACUGCGUACCUUUGUAUAAUGGGUCAGCGACUUAUAUUCUGUAGCAAGGUUAACCGUAUAGGGGAGCCGCAGGGAAACCGAGUCUUAACUGGGCGUUAAGUUGCAGGGUAUAGACCCGAAACCCGGUGAUCUAGCCAUGGGCAGGUUGAAGGUUGGGUAACACUAACUGGAGGACCGAACCGACUAAUGUUGAAAAAUUAGCGGAUGACUUGUGGCUGGGGUGAAAGGCCAAUCAAACCGGGAGAUAGCUGGUUCUCCCCGAAAGCUAUUUAGGUAGCGCCUCGUGAAUUCAUCUUCGGGGUAGAGCACUGUUUCGGCUAGGGGUCAUCCCGACUUACCAACCCGAUGCAAACUACGAAUACCGAAGAAUGUUAUCACGGGAGACACACGGCGGGUGCUAACGUCCGUCGUGAAGAGGGAAACAACCCAGACCGCCAGCUAAGGUCCCAAAGUCAUGGUUAAGUGGGAAACGAUGUGGGAAGGCACAGACAGCCAGGAUGUUGGCUUAGAAGCAGCCAUCAUUUAAAGAAAGCGUAAUAGCUCACUGGUCGAGUCGGCCUGCGCGGAAGAUGUAACGGGGCUAAACCAUGCACCGAAGCUGCGGCAGCGACACUAUGUGUUGUUGGGUAGGGGAGCGUUCUGUAAGCCUGCGAAGGUGUGCUGUGAGGCAUGCUGGAGGUAUCAGAAGUGCGAAUGCUGACAUAAGUAACGAUAAAGCGGGUGAAAAGCCCGCUCGCCGGAAGACCAAGGGUUCCUGUCCAACGUUAAUCGGGGCAGGGUGAGUCGACCCUAAGGCGAGGCCGAAAGGCGUAGUCGAUGGGAAACAGGUUAAUAUUCCUGUACUUGGUGUUACUGCGAAGGGGGGACGGAGAAGGCUAUGUUAGCCGGGCGACGGUUGUCCCGGUUUAAGCAUGUAGGCUGGUUGUCCAGGCAAAUCCGGAUAAUCAAGGCUGAGGUGUGAUGACGAGGCACUACGGUGCUGAAGUAACAAAUGCCCUGCUUCCAGGAAAAGCCUCUAAGCAUCAGGUAACAUUAAAUCGUACCCCAAACCGACACAGGUGGUCAGGUAGAGAAUACCAAGGCGCUUGAGAGAACUCGGGUGAAGGAACUAGGCAAAAUGGUGCCGUAACUUCGGGAGAAGGCACGCUGGUGUGUAGGUGAAGUCCCUGCGGAUGGAGCUGAGACCAGUCGAAGAUACCAGCUGGCUGCAACUGUUUAUUAAAAACACAGCACUGUGCAAACACGAAAGUGGACGUAUACGGUGUGACGCCUGCCCGGUGCCGGAAGGUUAAUUGAUGGGGUUAUCCGUAAGGAGAAGCUCUUGAUCGAAGCCCCGGUAAACGGCGGCCGUAACUAUAACGGUCCUAAGGUAGCGAAAUUCCUUGUCGGGUAAGUUCCGACCUGCACGAAUGGCGUAAUGAUGGCGGGCUGUCUCCACCCGAGACUCAGUGAAAUUGAACUCGCUGUGAAGAUGCAGUGUACCCGCGGCAAGACGGAAAGACCCCGUGAACCUUUACUAUAGCUUGACACUGAACAUUGAGCCUUGAUGUGUAGGAUAGGUGGGAGGCUUUGAAGCGUGGACGCCAGUCUGCGUGGAGCCAACCUUGAAAUACCACCCUUUAAUGUUUGAUGUUCUAACGUUGGCCCCUUACCGGGGUUGCGGACAGUGUCUGGUGGGUAGUUUGACUGGGGCGGUCUCCUCCCAAAGCGUAACGGAGGAGCACGAAGGUUAGCUAAUCUGGUCGGACAUCAGGAGGUUAGUGCAAUGGCAUAAGCUAGCUUGACUGCGAGCGUGACGGCGCGAGCAGGUGCGAAAGCAGGUCAUAGUGAUCCGGUGGUUCUGAAUGGAAGGGCCAUCGCUCAACGGAUAAAAGGUACUCCGGGGAUAACAGGCUGAUACCGCCCAAGAGUUCAUAUCGACGGCGGUGUUUGGCACCUCGAUGUCGGCUCAUCACAUCCUGGGGCUGAAGUAGGUCCCAAGGGUAUGGCUGUUCGCCAUUUAAAGUGGUACGCGAGCUGGGUUUAGAACGUCGUGAGACAGUUCGGUCCCUAUCUGCCGUGGGCGCUGGAGAAUUGAGGGGGGCUGCUCCUAGUACGAGAGGACCGGAGUGGACGCAUCACUGGUGUUCGGGUUGUCAUGCCAAUGGCACUGCCCGGUAGCUAAAUGCGGAAGAGAUAAGUGCUGAAAGCAUCUAAGCACGAAACUUGCCCCGAGAUGAGUUCUCCCUGAGACUUUAAGUCUCCUGAAGGAACGUUAAAGACGAUGACGUUGAUAGGCCGGGUGUGUAAGCGCAGCGAUGCGUUGAGCUAACCGGUACUAAUGAACCGUGAGGCUUAACCUUACAACGCCGAAG